AUGGGAAAUAGUUGUAACUCUGCUCACAACUAUGCGGCCAAAUGUUAUGACAAUUUGAAGAAUCAACAAUGCCAUAUUGAACAGCUAAUGGAGAGACAAACAACAGAAGAUAUAAGAGCAAACAGGCUGAGGCUUAGGGCAACAAUUGAUACAUUGCGGUGGCUAGCAUUUCAAGCCUGCCCUUUCCGAGGACAUGAUGAAAGUGUGGGCUCAAAGAAUCAAGGUAAUUUUCUUGAAAUGGUAAAACUGAUAGCUUCUUAUGAUGAGGAGGUUGGUGCUGUUGUACUAGGCAAUGCUCCAGGAAAUGCAAAGUAUACUUCACAAACAAUUCAAAAAGAAAUCAUGCAUAUUAUGGCUUGUGAUGUGCAAAGUUCAAUCCGCAAUGAAAUUGGCGAUGCCAAGUUUUGCCUGCUUAUUGAUGAAUCAAGAGAUGAAUCUAAAAGAGAGCAAAUGGCCAUUGUUCUCCGUUUUGUUGAUAAACAAGGUUUCAAUCGAGACUGUUUUUUUGAUCUUGUUCAUGUUAAAGAUACAUCUUCAGCAACUUUAAAAGAACAAAUAGAUUUUGUUUUGUCCCAACAUGAUUUGGAUGUUCAAAAUAUUCGGGGACAAGGAUAUGAUGGUGCUAGCAACAUGCAUGGAGAGUGGAACGGUCUACAUGCCAAGUUUAUGGAAGAGUGUCCAUACACAUACUAUGUUCAUUGUUUUGCUCAUCGAUUGCAAUUAGCUCUUGUUGGUGCAUCUAAAGAAGUAACCGAAGUCCAUAAUUUUUUUGAUCAUCUUGCUCUUGUUGUCAAUACUGUUGUGUCUUCUAGCAAGAGAAAUGAUGAGCUGCAUGCUAAUCAAGUGGCUGCAAUGGAGCAUCUCAUUGAGCUCAGUGAGCUUGAAACAUGA
RNAcentral lists this ribosomal RNA (891 nucleotides) under Triticum aestivum (bread wheat). RNAcentral's name for it is "partial small subunit ribosomal RNA". The record is from RNAcentral. Lineage: Eukaryota; Viridiplantae; Streptophyta; Magnoliopsida; Poales; Poaceae.